AGAGUUUGAUCCUGGCUCAGAACGAACGCUGGCGGCGUGCUUAACACAUGCAAGUCGAACGGAGUUAGUCGGUAGCACAAUGGGCUCAUAGGGUAAGAGGUAUGAGCUUAAUGUGCUACUGGCUAACUUAGUGGCGGACGGGUGAGUAACACGUAGGUAACCAACCCUAAAGCGGGGGACAACCCAGGGAAACUUGGGCUAAUACCGCAUAAGACCACGGACUGGGAGGUCUGUGGUAAAAGUAGCAAUACACUUUAGGAUGGGCCUGCGGCCUAUCAGGUAGUUGGCGGGGUAAAGGCCCACCAAGCCUAAGACGGGUAGCCGGACUGAGAGGUUGAACGGCCACACUGGAACUGAGAUACGGUCCAGACUCCUACGGGAGGCAGCAGUGGGGAAUUUUGCGCAAUGGGCGAAAGCCUGACGCAGCGACGCCGCGUGGAGGAUGAAGGUUUUCGGAUUGUAAACUCCUUUUGUAGGGGAAGAUAAUGACGGUACCCUAUGAAUAAGCCACGGCUAACUCUGUGCCAGCAGCCGCGGUAAGACAGAGGUGGCAAGCGUUGUUCGGAAUUACUGGGCUUAAAGGGCGCGUAGGUGGUGGCAUAAGUCCGAGGUGGAAGACUAAGGCUUAACCUUAGAAUUGCCUUGGAAACUGUAUCACUUGAGUCAGCGAGGGGAUGGCGGAAUUCCAGGUGUAGCGGUGAAAUGCGUAGAUAUCUGGAGGAAGGCCGGUGGCGAAGGCGGCCAUCUGGCGCUGAACUGACACUGAGGCGCGAAAGCGUGGGGAGCAAACAGGAUUAGAU
This 800-nucleotide ribosomal RNA is filed under the name uncultured bacterium. RNAcentral describes it as "bacterial SSU rRNA". It matches the Rfam family "Bacterial small subunit ribosomal RNA", at positions 8 to 783 of the family's 1533-position model. The record is from RNAcentral.